RNAcentral lists this ribosomal RNA (403 nucleotides) under uncultured bacterium. RNAcentral's name for it is "partial 16S ribosomal RNA". It matches the Rfam family "Bacterial small subunit ribosomal RNA", at positions 30 to 526 of the family's 1533-position model. The record is from RNAcentral.
AUUGAACGCUGGCGGCAGGCCUAACACAUGCAAGUCGAGCGAGAGGCGGACGGGUGAGUAAUGUAUGGGAACUGCCCACUAGAGGGGGAUAACUACUGGAAACGGUGGCUAAUACCGCAUACUAUCGGAUAACCCAUAUGGGAUUAGCUAGUAGGUGGGGUAAAGGCUCACCAAGGCGACGAUCCCUAGCUGGUCUGAGAGGCUGAUCAGCCACACUGGGACUGAGACACGGCCCAGACUCCUACGGAGGCAGCAGUGGGUAAUAUUGCACAAUGGGCGCAAGCCUGAUGCAGCCAUGCCGCGUGUAUGAUGAAGGCCUUAGGGUUGUAAAGUACUUUCAGCGGGGAGGCGUUACCCGCAGAAGAAGCACCGGCUAACUCCGUGCCAGCAGCCGCGGUAAUAC